Non-coding RNA from Schistosoma mansoni, 45 nucleotides. NCBI's taxonomy places the organism in Eukaryota, Metazoa, Platyhelminthes, Trematoda, Strigeidida, Schistosomatidae. The record is from Rfam.
AUCCAGCUGACGAGUCCCAAAUAAGAUGAAACGCGUGUCCUGGAU